CAGCUGGCUCGGUGGGUGGAGCAUGAGACUCUUGAUCUCAGGGUUGUAGGUUCAAGCCCCACCCAGUUGG
RNAcentral lists this transfer RNA (70 nucleotides) under Felis catus (domestic cat). The stretch from base 5 to 62 matches the Rfam family "tRNA", at positions 8 to 63 of the family's 71-position model. From Rfam's summary of the family: Transfer RNA (tRNA) molecules are approximately 80 nucleotides in length. Their secondary structure includes four short double-helical elements and three loops (D, anti-codon, and T loops). The record is from Rfam by way of RNAcentral. Lineage: Eukaryota; Metazoa; Chordata; Mammalia; Carnivora; Felidae.